GAAUCCGCUUGAGGCGCCUCGUCCUCCGCCCCCUCCCCGGGGCAGGACCAGGCGGCGUAAGAAAACACGAGCCACAAAAUGCUGGAGCUUUCAGCAGCGGUGAGGGCGCAGCUGUAAAUCGAUACUCGGGGACUGGGAGGGGGAUGUUACCGAGUUCGUGUUUCUCUGUCCAGUUGUGAGAGAGAAAAAUUAAACCGCUUUCAAGCAAACGCGCGAGCGCUUGUUACUUAAACGGCUCCCAUCAGUUGGUAUGGACCAUUUUCCAUCUAAAAAUCUAUGUUCUAUGAAUUAAAUUCUCUCCUUUUAAGCAAAUACACGAGUGCUGGAUGACAAUUUUUCUUAGAAAGUGCCUGGGCUAUUUUUUUUGUGCAUGAUACGUACAGGUAGUGUCUGAUGUAGUGGAGGACUUGGACCUUACCUGAUCCUAAAGUGCUGCUGUAACAGAAAUGCUUAAAAAUACUCUAUCUCUACCUUAUCUACAUAAAAAAGGAUAUAGAUAUGGUUUUAGAUAUUAUUAUUCUAAACUGUAUACAGAUAACACCACUUGUUUAAAUAAUGCCAGUCAUGUAACUUAACCAGGCUCUUGUCUUCAGAUUGCAUUUUCAAACUCACUGGCUUUGCAAGUCUUCAGUGAGUUUUUACAAAACACGUUGGCUAGCCUUCAUUUUUUGUUCUUUCCAACAGACAUAGUGAGAAAAUACAAUCACAGAGAUGGAUUUCUUAAUAAUAACUUGAAAUCUUAUGUUUCCCUCUGCAUAGUUGGACCUUUUGUGUUCCCCAUUUUUCUUGUAGAUGUCCUUGUAGAUUUUUAAAUGAUUAGCAAGCAUGAUGAAAAAUUCAGCUCCCCUCUCUCUUUGGAGAUUCUACCUUAAGCACUUGGGUAACUUCCAGCACGUUAGAUUUGGUGUUUCUGUACCAUACUGAAUUCAGAGCUUAAAUCCAGCUGCAUUUUUUUCUCCCUGUAUUAAGUAAAAUCUUGUCUGUAAUAGAUGGCAAACUUGGCAGUGCUGAAAAUGAUGGCACUUUUUAUAUGUGCCACUUCUCACUCAGUCCAGUGUUGUUGGAGUUGGUAGUCUUGACUACAGAUCUAAUUUUCCCAAGACCGGCUUCAUGUUGAUCUAUGAAGUUGCUGCUUAUUUUCUUUCCUAUCUGGAGUAAUUUAACAGAGUUUGUCUGUGUAUCAAAGUGGAUGUCCAGGUGAGAAGAGGCGAAACAAACAAACAAACAAAAUGGAGUACGGCCUGCACACUAUGAGAACAACAACCGCCUCAGCGAAAGUGCAGUCUCAUUGAGACCGCUUCAUUUCCAAGAAGCAGAAGUUAAAGACAUUUCCUAAAAAAAAAAAAAAAAAAGGCUGCGGCCUGUGGUUAUCAGGAGAGGCCAGACCGAGGGUCAAGAGCUUGUAACUAUUGUUCGAACCCUAUAUCUGUUGUGUGGCGUGUAAACCCUAUAAAAACCCUUUCCUACUGAGCACCAGGGUCGCCUCCUCUGACUCCUGCGUGAGUUACGAGACGACCCGGAGCUCCGAAAUAAACCUCACCUCGUGCGUUUGCAUCAAGUCGGCUCCUCGUUUUCCUCUGAGGUGCGCGUCUGCCUGGGUAGAGGAAAGCUUCGCCUUUCAUUUGGGGGCUCGUCCGGGAUCAACGACGAACACCUCAGGAAACGAUGACCCCUUGGAGGACUAGUCGAAUCCCUGAUGUACUCCCAUCAGCCCACAUGGGACGACUGCCAGCAGUUACUUCAAACACUUUUCACCACAG
Molecule: RNA transcript, 1760 nt
Organism: Colius striatus (speckled mousebird)
Lineage: Eukaryota; Metazoa; Chordata; Aves; Coliiformes; Coliidae
Gene: C7H15orf61
Gene name: chromosome 7 C15orf61 homolog
Exons: 2
Source: RefSeq, a predicted model, not a curated record